UGCUUAAUGCUUUCCCAGUGCUUUCCAUGG
This 30-nucleotide non-coding RNA is filed under the name Mus musculus (house mouse). The record is from RNAcentral. Lineage: Eukaryota; Metazoa; Chordata; Mammalia; Rodentia; Muridae.